Molecule: ribosomal RNA, 460 nt
Filed under: uncultured bacterium
Lineage: Bacteria
Description: partial 16S ribosomal RNA
Rfam family: Bacterial small subunit ribosomal RNA
Source: RNAcentral
CCUACGGGAGGCAGCAGUGAGGAAUAUUGGUCAAUGGACGAGAGUCUGAACCAGCCAAGUAGCGUGAAGGAUGACUGCCCUAUGGGUGGUAAACUUCUUUGAUAAAGGAAUAAAACGAGGCACGUGUGCCUUUUGGCAUGUACUUUAUCAAUAAGGAUGGCCUAACUCCGUGCCAGCAGCCGGGGUAAUACGGAGGAUCCGAGCGUUAUUCGGAUGUAGUGGGUUUAAAGGGACCGCAGAUGGGUUAUAAAGUCAGUUGUGAAAGUUUGUGGUUGAACCGUAAAACUGCAAUUGAUACUGGCAGUCUUGAGUAUAGGUGAGGUAGGCGGAAUUCGUGGUGUAGCGGUGAAAUGCUUAGAUAUCACGAAGAACACAGAUUGCGAAGGCAGCUUACUAAACUGUAACUGACAUUGAUGCUCGAAAGUGUGGGUAUCAAACAGGAUUAGAUACCCGUGUAGUC